This 226-nucleotide ribosomal RNA is filed under the name Pediococcus pentosaceus. RNAcentral's name for it is "partial 16S ribosomal RNA". It matches the Rfam family "Bacterial small subunit ribosomal RNA", at positions 70 to 291 of the family's 1533-position model. The record is from RNAcentral. Lineage: Bacteria; Bacillati; Bacillota; Bacilli; Lactobacillales; Lactobacillaceae.
CUGAUUGAGAUUUUAACACGAAGUGAGUGGCGAACGGGUGAGUAACACGUGGGUAACCUGCCCAGAAGUAGGGGAUAACACCUGGAAACAGAUGCUAAUACCGUAUAACAGAGAAAACCCAUGGUUUUCUUUUAAAAGAUGGCUCUGCUAUCACUUCUGGAUGGACCCGCGGCGUAUUAGCUAGUUGGUGAGGUAAAGGCUCACCAGGCAGUGAUACGUAGCCGAC